Apodemus sylvaticus (European woodmouse) is the source of this 431-nucleotide long non-coding RNA. RefSeq lists it as uncharacterized. Lineage: Eukaryota; Metazoa; Chordata; Mammalia; Rodentia; Muridae. The transcript is spliced from 4 exons. The record is from RefSeq and is a predicted model, not a curated record.
CCCUCAGCAGAACAGGGUCAGUGCUGUAAAGCUCGGGUUUGGGGCGUCAGGGCGACCUGGAGGAUGACAGAGGGCCCUGCUAGUUGGCUGUGACUGCCCAGCACAGCGGCAGCUAAGCCCCAUCCAUAGACCCAGAAUCCUGGCCGCCUCGAUGUGACUCUUAAGUGGUGGUUCAGGUGACCAGCAUUCCUGCCUGGAUAAUCCAUCUACUUGUGGAGUUUAUUCUUAUUUUUGAAGAAAGUGGAUAAUGCUGAAUUGAGGCGAAGAAUUCCCAUCUGGGGGCCCAAAGGGAAAUAGGAAAGUUGACUCGUCAGAGGAGACCUAGCUGCCAUUAUUUGCCUUCCAGUCGCUAUGUUCAUUGGUCAGCUGACAUCUUGACCAUGACAUUCUGAAAGGCUGAAUAGAUACUUAAAAUGGGCUAGAGAGAUGGC